GACGAACGCUGGCGGCGUGCUUAACACAUGCAAGUCGAACGGAAAGGCCCUGCUUUUGUGGGGUGCUCGAGUGGCGAACGGGUGAGUAACACGUGAGUAACCUGCCCUUGACUUUGGGAUAACUUCAGGAAACUGGGGCUAAUACCGGAUAGGAGCUCCUGCUGCAUGGUGGGGGUUAGAAAGUUUCGGCGGUUGGGGAUGGACUCGCGGCUUAUCAGCUUGUUGGUGGGGUAGUGGCUUACCAAGGCUUUGACGGGUAGCCGGCCUGAGAGGGUGACCGGCCACAUUGGGACUGAGAUACGGCCCAGACUGCUACGGGAGGCAGCAGUGGGGAAUAUUGCACAAUGGGCGGAAGCCUGAUGCAGAAACGCCGCGUGCGGGAUGACGGCCUUCGGGUUGUAAACCGCUUUCGCCUGUGACGAAGCGUGAGUGACGGUAAUGGGUAAAGAAGCACCGGCUAACUACGUG
This 468-nucleotide ribosomal RNA is filed under the name uncultured bacterium. RNAcentral's name for it is "partial 16S ribosomal RNA". It matches the Rfam family "Bacterial small subunit ribosomal RNA", at positions 28 to 507 of the family's 1533-position model. The record is from RNAcentral.